Molecule: small RNA, 105 nt
Filed under: Epilithonimonas bovis DSM 19482
Lineage: Bacteria; Pseudomonadati; Bacteroidota; Flavobacteriia; Flavobacteriales; Weeksellaceae
Description: Chryseobacterium bovis DSM 19482 Flavo-1 RNA
Rfam family: Flavo-1 RNA
Source: RNAcentral
CCAUAGCCCCGAUAGCAACGGCAUCCUUUUUUUGGAGCGAGGCGGCGGAGCGCAGCGGAGCCGACCGAGAUCCAAAAAAAGAUAUAGUGGAUAGCGGGAUUAAGC